This 73-nucleotide transfer RNA is filed under the name Liolaemus cf. rothi. Its description in RNAcentral is "tRNA-Asn". Lineage: Eukaryota; Metazoa; Chordata; Lepidosauria; Squamata. The record is from RNAcentral.
CUAGACAGGCGGGCCUUGAUCCCGCAACAAUUUAAUUAACAGCUAAACACCCUAACCAGCGGGCUUCCAUCUA